Dermacentor andersoni is the source of this 340-nucleotide long non-coding RNA. RefSeq lists it as uncharacterized. The record is from RefSeq and is a predicted model, not a curated record. Lineage: Eukaryota; Metazoa; Arthropoda; Arachnida; Ixodida; Ixodidae.
UUUUUUGCGUAUAUACCACGCACGAUGCGCAACUUGCGGUACUGCCAUUACUGCUUUGAUGCCCCGCGUCAUAAUCAAGAUGGCUGAUCUUUGAGUCGACGCAUGUCGGUACUGCUCCGUUUCUUCUUUUUGGAAAGUCGUAAGAGGUGGCCAGGCCACUGGUGGCACGUGUGACCCAGGUUGACCUCCCUUGGUUGAGGGGCCGAAGACACGCUGCGCCAUCCAGCGGCGCGCGCGCGAAGCUUCCCUCCUGUUGCGCGUGGACUCCGAGAUUGCGGCGGCGGUGUCGAGCCGGUGUCUGCUUAUGGAAUUAAUCAAUAAAUUAAUCUUGAAUUGCCCA